AAAAAAAGUAGGGAAAUGUGUGAGCCAGCUGCCAAGAAAAGCCGCUAUUGUUUGUACUGUACCCGUACCGUAAACCGACACAGGUAGGUGAGGAGAGAAUCCUAAGGCCGACGGGAGAAGCAUUGUUAAGGAACUCGGCAAAAUGACUCCGUAACUUCGGGAGAAGGAGUGCCAGUGAGAGCUGGCCGCAGAGAAUUGGCCCAAGCAACUGUUUAGCAAAAACACAGGUCUAUGCAAAACCGUAAGGUGAAGUAUAUGGGCUGACGCCUGCCCGGUGCUGGAAGGUUAAGGGGAGAGGUUAGCGCAAGCGAAGCUUUGAACUUAAGCCCCAGUAAACGGCGGCCGUAACUAUAACGGUCCUAAGGUAGCGAAAUUCCUUGUCGGGUAAGUUCCGACCCGCACGAAAGGCGUAAUGAUUUGGGCACUGUCUCAACAAUGCACCCGGUGAAAUUGAAAUACCAGUGAAGAUGCUGGUUACCUGCGCCAGGACGGAAAGACCCCAUGGAGCUUUACUCCAGCUUGAUACUGGGAUUCGAUAUUGUAUGUACAGGAUAGGUGGGAGGCGAAGAAGCAUUGACGCCAGUUGGUGCGGAGCCGCUGUUGGGAUACCACCCUUGCAGUAUUGGAUUUCUAACCAGCAGCCGUGACCCGGCUGGGGGACAAUGUCAGGUGGGGAGUUUGACUGGGGCGGUCGCCUCCGAAAGGGUAUCGGAGGCGCUCAAAGGUUCCCUCAGAAUGGUUGGAAACCAUUCGAAGAGUGCAAAGGCAGAAGGGAGCUUGACUGCGACACCGACGGGUGGAGCAGGUACGAAAGUAGGACUUAGUGAUCCGGUGGUAUAAAGUGGGAUUGCCAUCGCUCAACGGAUAAAAGCUACCCUGGGAUAACAGGCUUAUCACUCCCAAGAGUUCACAUCGACGGAGUGGUUUGGCACCUCGAUGUCGGCUCAUCGCAUCCUGGGGCUGAAGUAGGUCCCAAGGGUUGGGCUGUUCGCCCAUUAAAGCGGUACGCGAGCUGGGUUCAGAACGUCGUGAGACAGUUCGGUCCCUAUCCGGCGUGGGCGUAGGAUAUUUGAGAGGAGCUGGCCUUAGUACGAGAGGACCGGGCUGGACUGACCGCUGGUGUAUCUGUUGUUCCGCCAGGAGCAUGGCAGAGUAGCCAAGUCAGGAAGGGAUAAACGCUGAAGGCAUCUAAGCGUGAAGCCCCCCUCAAGAUGAGAUAUCCCAACGCAAGUUGUAAGACCCCUUGAAGACGACAGGGUAGAUAGGGCAGAGGUGGAAGUGCAGUAAUGCAUGGAGCUGACUGUUACUAAUCGGUCGAGGGCAUAACCAU
This 1330-nucleotide ribosomal RNA is filed under the name metagenome. RNAcentral's name for it is "bacterial LSU rRNA". It matches the Rfam family "Bacterial large subunit ribosomal RNA", at positions 1575 to 2925 of the family's 2925-position model. The record is from RNAcentral.